AGUGAACGCUGGCGGUAGGCCUAACACAUGCAAGUCGAACGGCAGCACAGUAAGAGCUUGCUCUUACGGGUGGCGAGUGGCGGACGGGUGAGGUAUACAUCGGAAUCUACUUUUUCGUGGGGGAUAACGUAGGGAAACUUACUCUAAUACCGCAUACGACCUACGGGUGAAAGCAGGGGAUCUUCGGACCUUGCGCGAUUGAAUGAGCCGAUGUCGGAUUAGUUAGUUGGCGGGUUAAAGGCCCACCAAGGGGCCGAUGCGUAGCUGGUCUGAGAGGAUGAUAGGCCACACUGGAGCUGAGACACGGUACAGACUCCUACGGGAGGCAGCAGUGGGGAAUAUUGGGCAAUGGGCGCAAGCCUGGUCCAGCCAUACCGCGUGGGUGAAGAAGGCCUUCGGGUUGUAAAGCCGUUUUGUUGGGAAAGAAAAGCAGCAGGUUAAUACCACGCUGUUCUGACGGUAACCAAAGAAUAAGCACCGGCUAACUUCGUG
RNAcentral lists this ribosomal RNA (492 nucleotides) under uncultured bacterium. RNAcentral's name for it is "partial 16S ribosomal RNA". It matches the Rfam family "Bacterial small subunit ribosomal RNA", at positions 29 to 507 of the family's 1533-position model. The record is from RNAcentral.